Molecule: non-coding RNA, 883 nt
Organism: Elaeis guineensis (African oil palm)
Lineage: Eukaryota; Viridiplantae; Streptophyta; Magnoliopsida; Arecales; Arecaceae
Source: RefSeq, a predicted model, not a curated record
GAAUCAGGUAAAAAGGUGUAUUUUUUAAAGCAAACAGUUGGGAACGCUUGUGGAACCAUUGGGAUUCUUCAUGCUCUAGGAAAUGCAACAUCUGAAAUUAAUCUUGUGGAGGGCUCGUACUUUGAUAGGUUCUACAAGUCAACAGCUAACAUGGAUCCAUUUGAGCGUGCUGCUUUUCUUGAAAAAGACAGAGAAAUGGAGGAUGCUCAUUCUGUAACAGCUACUGCUGGGGAUACAGAGGCUUCUUCAGAUGUAAAUGAACAUUAUAUUUGCUUCACAUGUGUUGAUGGAGAGCUUUAUGAGCUUGAUGGGAGGAAGUUCCAACCGAUAUCUCAUGGUCCUUCAUCACCUAGUAGCCUGUUGCAGUAAAUUAAAAUUGAAGAAAGGCGUAACUCUUGCAUAUGCCUUUGCCAUGAGACUGGAGCCUGAUCUAAAAGCUGCCAUGGAGCCACCAAGACUUCAUGUACCCAAAGUACAGGACUGGGAUAACCAUGACGAAUGGAAAAUGUUUUUAGUUUGAUGAAUGGCAUGCUAAUGAUAUGAUGCAUAACUUGGUGGGACAAAAGUUUAAAGGAUGCUGCAAAGGUUAUAAAAACCAUGAUCCAGAAAAUUCCUGACUCAAUGAACUUCAAUGUCAUGGCACUCUCAAAGAAAGAAAAGUAAUGAACACCGAGACCGGUCAGCUAUUCAGUUCAUCUUUCCGUGUGACAGUCCUUGCUAGGCUGCAUACUAUCUUAAGUUUUUAUGUGCCCUGUUCAUCAACUCAAAACCUUUGUAAUAAGCCAAUUUUAAUAGAAAUCUUGACACAACGCUCGUGAUGUUUGCAUGCAAGUAGUCCGUGCUGCUGUUUUGAUUAAUAUGCCACGCCGCAUGUGGUAGUAUU